GACGAACGCUGGCGGCGUGCCUAAUACAUGCAAGUAGGACGCAGUUGCGAACGGGUGAGUAACGCGUAGGUAACUACCUAUUAGAGGGGGAUAACUAUUGGAAACGAUAGCUAAUACCGCAUACUAGUAGAUGGACCUGCGUUGUAUUAGGUAGUAGGUAGGGUAAUGGCCUACCUAGGCAACGAUACAUAGCCGACGUGGGAGGGUGAUCGGCCAAAAAGGGACUGAGAAACGGGCCAGACUCCUACGGGGGGCAGCAGUAGGGAAACUUCGGCAAUGGGGGGAACCCUGACCGAGCAACGCCGCGGGAGUGAAAAAGGUUUGCGGAUCGUAAAGCUCUGUUGUUAGGGAAGCGGUACUUAACGAGAAAGGGACGGAUAACUACGUGCCAGCAGCCGCGGUAAUAC
RNAcentral lists this ribosomal RNA (407 nucleotides) under uncultured bacterium. Its description in RNAcentral is "partial 16S ribosomal RNA". It matches the Rfam family "Bacterial small subunit ribosomal RNA", at positions 28 to 526 of the family's 1533-position model. The record is from RNAcentral.